AUAUAGCCUGAAUGAUACCCGCUGCCAGGCUUUCUCUCCAAAUGAACCCCCAAAAACCGGGGAAGCUCUGUCAAGGCAGAAUAUUCCCUUUGACAUUAGUGAAACAUCUACUAGUGUGCCAUCCACGNNNNNNNNAGAUUUGGUGCAGAGAUAUCAGGAAUUUAAGGGUGCUUUGAAGGAAGAUUCUGUUGAUUACACCACUUACACUGCAAACAUCAAGAGGAAGCGCCCUACACCUAGAAAGACAAAAAAUGCACGUGUGAAUGGAGAUGACGACGAUGAUGAUGAUGAUGAUGCAGAAUGGACAGGAGGGGUUCGGAGACAAAGUGG
This 330-nucleotide unclassified non-coding RNA is filed under the name Hevea brasiliensis (rubber tree). The record is from RNAcentral. Lineage: Eukaryota; Viridiplantae; Streptophyta; Magnoliopsida; Malpighiales; Euphorbiaceae.